GAAUCAUUACUAUUUAUAUUUCGAAAACAUUUCAGGUAAACAAUAAAACUAAUUUACACAUUUCGAAAAUUUUAUUUACAGUUUAUUUACAAAUUUGGAAAAUAAUUUCGCAAAAUACGCUUACCUUAUGUAAAAUGUGCACUACAAUAUACUAUUCAAAUGUCACUUAAAUUUAUUUACAUUACAAUACAACAUAGAUAUCUCUAUUACAUAUCAUAAUUUGUGAAAAUAUUAGUUGUUUCUUUAAGUAAAAAAAUUAAGACAAAAUAUGGUUCAACUGAUUUUAUUACAUUUAGGAUAUUUAAAUAAGUAAAUUAAUCAAAUAUUUGUCAUAAAUAGACUAGUAAUAUUUAGUUUCGUUGAAAUGUAAAGAUAUUCUAACGAAGAGAUCCUGUUUGACUGUGAUUAGUCACAGUAAUAGUUAAUAAUCAAGAUCCCAGGACCCAUAAACAUAAUUUAUUUUCUGAUGGAAAAAAUAUUAAUAAAGUACUAUCAGUGUGUACAGCGUAUACAUACCGAAUAGUUUUGGCCCAGGGCCAAUUCUGAGGUACAAUAUGCUACAGUCGGUUAAAAAUCUAGUCCUGAGAUUUUAGACUAAUGUAACAUGACGUUUUAGAGUGGCGUAAGCCCUAAAAGCGAAUUUGACCAAUGCCUCAAUUUCUUUCUAUUUUUUACCAACUCCAAAAAAGGAGGAGGUUACUCAAUACGACCGUAUAUAUAUAUAUAUAUAUAUUUUAUUAAUGUAUGUUCGGGGAUAACUGCGUCGUUUAUGAACCGAUUUUAAUAAUUCCUUUUUUGUUGGAAAGGAGAUAUACCAAGUGUGGUACCAUGCUAAGGAAGCCAGAAUCUGAUGAUGGAAUCCCAGAGAAAUCGA
Molecule: unclassified non-coding RNA, 874 nt
Filed under: Melitaea cinxia (Glanville fritillary)
Lineage: Eukaryota; Metazoa; Arthropoda; Insecta; Lepidoptera; Nymphalidae
Description: misc RNA ENSMCXG00005003052.1
Source: RNAcentral